AACAAGAUGGCUGAGUUUCAAGCAGAAGAUUGUAGCUCUUCCAACGGGUUUGUCCCUCUUGUUA
Molecule: transfer RNA, 64 nt
Filed under: Lepidonotus sp. YZ-2018
Lineage: Eukaryota; Metazoa; Annelida; Polychaeta; Phyllodocida; Polynoidae
Description: tRNA-Tyr
Source: RNAcentral